CCUACGGGGGGCAGCAGUGGGGAAUAUUGGACAAUGGGGGGAACCCUGAUCCAGCCAUGCCGCGUGUGUGAAGAAGGCCCUCGGGUUGUAAAGCACUUUCAGUGAGGAAGAACGCCUGGUGGUUAAUACCCAUCAGGAAAGACAUCACUCACAGAAGAAGCACCGGCUAACUCCGUGCCAGCAGCCGCGGUAAUACGGAGGGUGCGAGCGUUAAUCGGAAUUACUGGGCGUAAAGCGCGCGUAGGUGGCUUGAUAAGCCGGUUGUGAAAGCCCCGGGCUCAUCCUGGGAACGGCAUCCGGAACUGUCAAGCUAGAGUGCAGGAGAGGAAGGUAGAAUUCCCGGUGUAGCGGUGAAAUGCGUAGAGAUCGGGAGGAAUACCAGUGGCGAAGGCGGCCUUCUGGACUGACACUGACACUGAGGUGCGAAAGCGUGGGUAGCAAACAGGAUUAGAUACCCCAGUAGUC
Molecule: ribosomal RNA, 465 nt
Filed under: Vreelandella stevensii
Lineage: Bacteria; Pseudomonadati; Pseudomonadota; Gammaproteobacteria; Oceanospirillales; Halomonadaceae
Description: partial 16S ribosomal RNA
Rfam family: Bacterial small subunit ribosomal RNA
Source: RNAcentral